CGGCGAGUGAAGCGGGAAGAGCUCAAAUUUGUAAUCUGGCACUUUCAGUGUCCGAGUUGUAAUCUCGAGAAGUAUUUUCCGCGCCGGACCGCAUACAAGUCUGUUGGAAUACAGCGUCAUAGUGGUGAGAACCCCGUAACUGAUGCGGAUGCCCGGUGCUUUGUGAUAUACUUUCGAAGAGUCGAGUUGUUUGGGAAUGCAGCUCAAAUUGGGUGGUAAAUUCCAUCUAAAGCUAAAUAUUGGAGCAAGACCGAUAGCGAACAAGUACCGUGAGGGAAAGAUGAAAAGCACUUUGGAAAGAGAGUUAACAGUACGUGAAAUUGUUGGAAGGGAAACGCUUGAAGUCAGACUUGCUAUUCGGAGUUCAGCCGCAAGGUGUAUUCUUCGAUUUGCAGGCCAGCAUCAGUUUUUGGGGGUGGAAAAUCGUGGUUUGAAGGUAGCAGUUUCGGCUGUGUUAUAGCUUUCCACUGGAUUCAUCUUCGGGGACUGAGGAACGCAGUACGCUUUUUGCAAGGCUCUCGAGCUUUU
This 528-nucleotide ribosomal RNA is filed under the name Leucosporidium scottii. Its description in RNAcentral is "eukaryotic LSU rRNA". It matches the Rfam family "Eukaryotic large subunit ribosomal RNA", at positions 87 to 627 of the family's 3401-position model. Lineage: Eukaryota; Fungi; Basidiomycota; Microbotryomycetes; Leucosporidiales; Leucosporidiaceae. The record is from RNAcentral.